Molecule: ribosomal RNA, 296 nt
Filed under: uncultured bacterium
Lineage: Bacteria
Description: partial 16S ribosomal RNA
Rfam family: Bacterial small subunit ribosomal RNA
Source: RNAcentral
GGAUUAGAUACCCUGGUAGUCCAUGCAGUAAACGAUGGGUGCUAGAUGUUGGGAAUUUAAAUUUCCAGUAUCGCAGUUAACGCGUUAAGCACUCCGCCUGGGAAGUACGGCCGCAAGGCUAAAACUCAAAUGAAUUGACGGGGACCCGCACAAGCGGUGGAUCAUGUGGUUUAAUUCGAAGAUACGCGAAGAACCUUACCGGCCCUUGACAUACCAAUCGCGGACUUAAGAGAUUAAGUCUUUCACUUCGGGUGGAUUGGAUACAGGUGCUGCAUGGCUGUCGUCAGCUCGUGCCG